This 497-nucleotide ribosomal RNA is filed under the name uncultured bacterium. RNAcentral's name for it is "partial 16S ribosomal RNA". It matches the Rfam family "Bacterial small subunit ribosomal RNA", at positions 28 to 507 of the family's 1533-position model. The record is from RNAcentral.
GAUGAACGCUGGCGGCGUGCCUAAUACAUGCAAGUCGAGCGAACGGACGAGAAGCUUGCCUCUCUGAUGUUAGCGGCGGACGGGUGAGUAACACGUGGAUAACCUACCUAUAAGACUGGGAUAACUUCGGGAAACCGGAGCUAAUACCGGAUAAUAUUUUGAACCGCAUGGUUCAAAAGUGAAGGACGGUCUUGCUGUCACUUAUAGAUGGAUCCGCGCUGCAUUAGCUAGUUGGUAAGGUAACGGCUUACCAAGGCAACGAUGCAUAGCCGACCUGAGAGGGUGAUCGGCCACACUGGAACUGAGACACGGUCCAGACUCCUACGGGAGGCAGCAGUAGGGAAUCUUCCGCAAUGGGCGAAAGCCUGACGGAGCAACGCCGCGUGAGUGAUGAAGGUCUUCGGAUCGUAAAACUCUGUUAUUAGGGAAGAACAUAUGUGUAAGUAACUGUGCACAUCUUGACGGUACCUAAUCAGAAAGCCACGGCUAACUACGUG